CCUACGGGAGGCAGCAGUAGGGAAUCUUCCACAAUGGGCGAAAGCCUGAUGGAGCAACGCCGCGUGAGUGAUGAAGGCCUUCGGGUUGUAAAACUCUGUCAUUCGGGACGAACCGGAGUCUGAGGAAAUGCAGACUCUCUGACGGUACCGGAGGAGGAAGCCCCGGCUAACUACGUGCCAGCAGCCGCGGUAAUACGUAGGGGGCAAGCGUUGUCCGGAUUCACUGGGCGUAAAGCGCGCGCAGGCGGUGAUGUAAGUCUGAGGUGAAAACCCGAAGCUCAACUUCGGGACUGCCUUGGAUACUGCGUCACUUGAGGAUAGGAGAGGCAAGGGGAAUUCCACGUGUAGCGGUGAAAUGCGUAGAGAUGUGGAGGAACACCUGUGGCGAAGGCGCCUUGCUGGCCUAUUUCUGACGCUGAGGCGCGAAAGCGUGGGGAGCAAACAGGAUUAGAUACCCUGGUAGUCCACGCUGUAAACGAUGAGUGCUAGGUGUAGGUGGGCUCAUACCCAUCUGUGCCGAAGCUAACGCAUUAAGCACUCCGCCUGGGGGAGGUACGGUCGCGACGACGUAGAACGUACAAUAGAAGUUAGACGGCGUUGAGGACGNGCCGACGGCGACGACGAGGGAGGAGG
Molecule: ribosomal RNA, 633 nt
Filed under: uncultured bacterium
Lineage: Bacteria
Description: bacterial SSU rRNA
Rfam family: Bacterial small subunit ribosomal RNA (bases 1-544)
Source: RNAcentral